Molecule: ribosomal RNA, 393 nt
Filed under: Triticum aestivum (bread wheat)
Lineage: Eukaryota; Viridiplantae; Streptophyta; Magnoliopsida; Poales; Poaceae
Description: partial small subunit ribosomal RNA
Source: RNAcentral
AUGACCACCAAGAUGAAGGUUUGUUCUGCUCACCAUUUUUUGUUUUCAGGCUCUUCUUUUGUUCAGUGUUACUGUGGAGAAUUCUGGUGCAUUUCUGUUCAACAAUUGGAGGCUUCGGUGGUAGAGGAUGGAUUAACUCCCUUGCUCAAUGCUAUUGUUUAUGCCCUUGACAAUCCAUUUGGUUCUUUGUCUACAACAUUUGAGGCUAUUCAGAUGGGUGUGCCCAUCCAGUCGAUGGCAUUGUAUGUGAUAGUGCAGUCGCUGAUGUACAAGAGGCGUCCGUGGUGUCAGUUCUCCAUCGUCCAUGCUUAUCUUCUAUAUGCUCUAGCAGCCAGAGCUGUAGGAACAAGAGAAGAGAGACACAAAUCCCUUAUUGUGAUUCAUGACACCUAA